GCAAUCGUGGCCGAGUGUUUCAAGCGAUGGACUAGAAAUCCAUUGGGGUCUCCCCGCACAGUUUCGAAUCCUGUUGACUACG
Non-coding RNA from Ixodes scapularis (black-legged tick), 82 nucleotides. The record is from Rfam. Lineage: Eukaryota; Metazoa; Arthropoda; Arachnida; Ixodida; Ixodidae.